GGCCAGAUGCUAAACAAGCCACAUUUACGGUACUUGGAAGCAGAAUAUUAUUAUGUGUGUGUAGGAUUGCAGCCCAAAUCUCAAAUCAGUUACACCAGAUGGCUCUUUGACUCAAGUGGGGUUAAGGGCUGGGUGACACAAUUAGCAGUUCUGUGCUGCUUUAGAAUAUGGGGUUAGAGUGCAGGCUGCAGGUUUGAAUGCUGCACCAUAGGCAAAGAAACAACCUUUGUGUGUAGACAGUUCUUGUGUCAAGGAGAAGGUCCUUCUCCAACACAUGCAUUUCUCUGUGUGUGUGUGCAGCUAUCUUUCUCUAUUUUGAUAUGGGAUAAUAAUUCCCAUAUGUGAUCCCCAUCUUGCAAACUCAAGUAGUACAGUCCAGAAACACUUUUAGCAUAUGAACUUCUGUUUGUGUAGACUACCUUGAAGAUCCUGACAACACCAUCAUGUCAAAAGCAGUGAAAUGUAAUCUAGGAUCAUCUGGCACAGGGAAGCAGAAACCAGGGGCUGCAUCAAUCAUUUGUCUGUGUUUGUAUCCUUUAGGAGCUAAUUGGCCCCUUCCCUCCCCCUUUCAAUCCUUGGGGCAAUUAGCUGCCAAAAGAGAAAUAAGAUAAGCAGAGGUUAAUAGGGCAGAGAAAGGUGGCCAACACCACCUGCUUCCCUGUGCCAUUCCUUUUUAUGAUCCCAUCCAGCCUCUAAUGUUUGGCUAUCUCCCGGUUCAGAAGUCUCACAAUUCAGAGCUUGACUUAGUCAUGAUAACUUUGAUGUGAUGAGUGCAGUGUGUGGUCUGCCAGCCAGGCUAUAUUGCCUGUUCUUUAACAUCACCAGGAAAGGCUUUUGGUGCCCCUCCCCCCAAUCAAGGAUAUACUUGUUGGAGGGGGAUUUCCAGCCAGUGGCAGAGGACAGAGUAACUCCAAGAGACAUAGGUGUAAAAAACCCCAAACUAAAACGAAGACUUUAUUACUAAACAAAUAAACACAAACUCUGGUGGGUGUUAAUCCUGCAGGCAGGCUACAAAACUCAGCUUUUUUCUUUUAUAGCAAUGGUCAGCUGCAGCCAAUUAAUCCCAGAAACUUCUUAAAGGUAUACACACAUGUUUCUGUGCCGAAUGUCCCCCAACAAUACUGAGUGCAGGGACCUGCAGUAGAACCCUCUCACUGGCAGCUCCACAAGUCUGGCAUGACCUUUCCAUGGAGGUGUGUUUUCCUCCAUCACUGCUUUCAUAUUGGAGAUAGGUUGCAAUUCUUGCCUUCCCCCAGGCCUUUGAUGGAGAGCAAGUAUGAUACAGAUACAGGUAUUGUGGAAUUAUAUAAUUGUUGGAACUGCUGCUGGUCUGCUGAUACUGUUAUUGCAAGUUUAAUUUGUUGUUUUUGUUUCUAAAUGUUUUAUAUUAUGCAUUUACAAUGUUUCUAAUUUGUAAGCCACCCUGUGGAUGUUUGUUAAGGGUGAUAUAGAAAUUGCUUAACAAAUAAGUAAAAUAAAAUAAUGCUACCUUCAUUCCCAGCACUCCAGCUUAGAUGGAUUGUGGAUUGCUGUCUGAGAACAGAGUUUGACUCAUAGGUUUGUGCCCAGCACACUAUUAAUUUGCUCAAAGCCUAUCUUUAGAGAUCAAAAAAUAGCUAUGCCAGUCCAAGAAAUACACCAAAUAUCUUAUAUUUAUACUAGCAGGAUGCAAGGUUUCAAGUUGCUCAAUCUUCUGUUUAAUAUGGCCUCACCUGUUCAUUGUUUAUGCAACACUGUAUGAAAUAAUAAGACGAGUAAAGAAUGCCUGUGAGGUUUGAGUGUGCAUGUGGCAUUUGAUCUUCUUUGACUAUUGCAAUUGAAAUCAAGGAGCACAAGAAUUUGUAAAAGCAACUCUAAAGCCUGUAUGUGAGUUCUGUAUUGCCCCAUGCACAAUACAAUUAAUUAUUCCAGCUGUGCACAGUGUUGCAGCUAGAACCCUCUUCUUUCACAAAUUAAGCUAAGACAAAAGCACUAUCUUUGAAAAGAACACCUUUGGCAGUAUCCAAAACCAUACCUUGCUAUUGUUUUUGAAAGUUUUUCCUGUUCCUUUACAUUGAACAUCUUACUGAAAAUAAAGGCAGCAGGUGUGGGGUGGGGACCUUAAUAGGAGCCAACUAGUAUUAUUUAUCAAUUGCCUAGUAUUCAGGUUUCUCCCCCCUGCCUUUAUUUUCAGUAGAGAGGGGCUUUCUACAUCACUCAGUUACACAAAAGCCCUCAUGAUAAGGUUGUUAAACACCAGAAAGAGCUGAAGAAACACAUUGAAGAUAUUAUGGAGCACGUCAAUAGCUGUAGAGGACCAAAAUGAAUUGCUCUACAGUACAUUCCCGCCCCCCCUUCUCUCAGCAAUAUCCAAGAUUUCACUGUCUGCAAUAAUCUUCUCUGAAGAAUUAAAUGAAUUAAGAAGUGAAAGUGAUAAAGUCAUCCUAAGCAUGGGGCACCAGUGCCCUUUGUAAUUAUUUCACUUGUACAGAGGGAGAUGUUGGCUGUUUAUGCCAUUCUAUGGAAUAACAAAAUGACAUGCCAGUAUACAGGAGAUCUGAAACUUUCAAUUAGGUAAAAUGCAGUGAGUGGUGGUGAGAAGGGAGAGGAAUAUCAUGAUAUUACAGUUACAUAUAUGUUUUGCACAUGUAUUUUGAUGUGCAUAUUUUCUAGAAAUAUGAGUAAAGCUGCAGUCCAGUGCCUUUGUACUUGGGAGUUGGGCUGCCACAUUUUCAACUGGCCUCUGCAACUAUGACUUCAAUAUCAGCUUCAUCUACUGAAGCUUGCCAGUGAUGAGGUUUAUCUCCAUGCUGUCUUAAAAAAUUAAGCUAACUCCAUUCUGCAUAUUGAGCCUCUAUUAAAGGCAUAGUUACAGUGGACAGUAGAAAAGUUUGUCAUCUUACCUUGGAGUUAGUUCCACUUAAAUCAGUGCCAGAUAUUUCCAACUAAAUGUGGACAGGGUUAGAAUAAUUAGUAUGCCAGCUGUCUAACAAUUUUUUGAUAAGGUGAAGCUAUUAUCUUAUUAAAAGGAAAAUAACAGUAGUACCUAGGCUGCUGUGUGUUUCAAGAGAAAAGAGAACAGGAACAAUAGGCUCAUGUGAAUGGUUUUGAUCAUGUUAGUAAAGGUGAACAGUUUUGUAUCUGGAAGGAACAGAAGAGAACCUAAUGAUGUCCAUGCAAGCAUUAUAUACAGGACCCAAACUUCUACCUUUGCCUGCAAAUGGGAUCCUGUUUAUUGAUGACUUGGGGGGAUCUCUCACAUUAUAAAAUGUUGGUAUUUGAUCUUUAGUAUAUCACUGUCCUUGGGAAUGAAAACCAACCUAUUUGAAAUAAAGAUAUGAGGCUUAUGUGCUAUAUAAAUAUUAGAUUAUGGUGAUUAUAAUGCUGAUGAAUUGACCUCAGUUAUUGCUGUCUAAAACCAGCUCUGUAUGGUUUGAAAUGGUUGAAAUGAACUUAAGGUCUGAGCUACAUUUUCAGAAAAAAGCAAGUUGUAUAGUUCUGCAACUGUACUAUUUAAAUGGUGAAGGGAGGUGCCUUUUGUGUGUGGUGGUGGGGUGAGCAUUUAAGCAUGAUUCCCACCCCAUGGCCUGAAGUAGUAUAAUUAAGCAAAAGCACCAUUAUCUGACUCUUCUGAUUAUGUAGUUCAGGGGUUUUGCAUAGAUUUAAAUAUUCUCAUUUACCUUUUAAUAUUCUAUGGAUUCAUAUUAACACACAUACUUAAUUCCUCUACUACCUUAAUCUCAACAUCCACAGGCCAGCUCAGACUGAAUGUUCUUAUAUCAUUUGGAGAUUGUUCACACAUUUGGCUGAUCGGACAUCAUGAUGAACUUCCAUAAUGAUGAACUUUAGAGUAGAACUACAGAACCAGAAGAGACCUGAAAGUCAUUUAGUCCAGUCUGUUGUCAAUGAAGUAUCUGGAACAGACUAGAAGCUGCUCUGGUAAUUGCUACCACUUCCCCUGUGGCCUUAAAAUGUGAGGAAAACAGGAUAGGCUCAUCUUCACAAUGGUAUUGUCCACAUUUCUCCAGGGUGCCUCUCUUUCAUUUAACUCCAUCUUCUUUCCUUCCUGGGGAGUAUAGUUUUCCCUGUUGAAGUGGGAGGGGAACUAGGAGUAGCAGUGAGGGUAGAAAGAGACCCUUUCCCAUGUUGCCAGAACUGCAGCUACUAGAAUAUGGUCAGUAAAUAUGGGCUAGAGGGUGGCAAAUCCAUCUCCUUCCACCCAUCCCUGCCCCCAUCUUGAAUUGUAAUUUGAAAGAGGGAGGAUUGGGUUUGGUUUGGAACACAGGUAUGCAUUAUUAGCUUGUCAAAUUUGGAUUCUGAACCAGGUAAUUAAAAGGCUUGGCAAUUUCACUAAUAGAGUUAAGUAGAUCCACUGAUCUCUUUCAGUGGAGAAACAGUCUAAUGAGUUUCAUUAAAGAGAACAAGCAAGCAGGGUUUUUACUGCUAUCAGAUAUAUGGCAGGAAGAUCAAUGUUAAGGCUUGUGCGACAAUUCUGCAUCUGAAAUAAUAGUCAAUACUAACAUGAAACCAUCUAGAUACACAAAAGCACAAAUGUUUAACUCUCUGCUCAGGCACAAACUAUAGCAUCUGCCUGCUUUGAUGUUGAUAAAAGCUACUUGUGAUUGCUAACUGUAUUAAUCUUAAAUGCUGAUAUCUGAUCUUAAAUCUAAUGAAAUAAAUAGCCAUGGCAAAAUGUGAACUAUUCUUAGCCUAGAUGAUACCAUUACGAUCUGCUAGAUUUUGCAUGCUUAAAAAUGUUUUUGUUUUGUAUCUUUUUUAUAUUUUUUUAUUAAGGCACACAAAUUGGUCUUUGCAUAUUCCCUUCUUUUUUAGAUCAUUUAAGCGCCAAGAUCAUUAACAGGCUGCACUCUACUUCCUUUUAGAAGCAAUGCUGCCACUUCUCCCAAUCAUUCUCAUAAGUAGUCAGAGUAAAUAAGGCACUGGAAUAAGUGAAGUAAAUACUUUACACAUAAUUUACAUAAUAUGCAUCAUUUGCAUCUCUUAAACAAUUGAUGGCAUAGACAUAUGUGAGCUGACAUUGAAGAUUUGGCAAAAUAAUUUCAAGUAUUAUCAUGUUCCUCUGUGGCAUGGAUCCUACAGCCUAGAUGCACAUUGGUGCAUGACUGGUAUCUAACUGUGGGAAUGUUGUGGGUAACAGGAGAGGAUAUAUUGAUUAAUAUUAUCCUUCCUAACUCACAUUAGCAAGUUUCUUCAUACAGCAGAGUGCAUUCCCCUAUUACACAGCAGGAAGCUGGUUGCAAACUCGUGUGAGUCUCUUAAGACAAUAAGCAAUUCAAUCUGGCUUGCCCAGAUUGAGAUAUGUUCUAUUAUUCCUGGUAAGACCCCUUUGAUCCCUCCUAAAAAAAUAAAGACACAACGGUCUUAUUCAUAAGUAACAAAAAGUAGUUCUACUCACGAUCAGGCAGAGCACAGUGUGAUCCCCGAAGGCUUUAGGCUUAAAGUUACGAAUAUGUACAAACAGGUUUACCCCAUAUGGAAUAUGUACAAACAGGUUUACCCCAUAUGGGAGAUAACCUAGGGACUGCUGGCCAGCAUUGCAGUCUAGGUGAAGCAGGAAGCAGGCAGGGCAAAAAAGAAGGGAGUUGGCUACUUGACUUGGCCUUUCACCAGUUCUGGAAAGGUCACACCCACCUACUAGUCACAUGCAAAGGAAAGGAUGCUCCAGACCAAGUGUAACAGGAAGUUCAACUGGUUGGCCAACAUUCCCCUGCAUAUCCACUCUAGGCAAACAGGAAGUGUUGUACCUGACUGCUCCAGUGGAUUACUUCCCACACUAACUGGCCGCCUACUGAUUGCAUAGGUAAGUUUCUAAAUCUAAAGCAAUUGACAGUGCUCCAGGAUUUCAGAUGGGGAAUUCUCAACACUACCAGAAGGGUGAGGAACCUGUGGCCACUCAUAUAUUGUUUGACUCCAACUCCCAUCAGUUCCUGCCAGAACAACCAAUGUUUAGUGAUGGUGGGAAGUCCAGCAACACAGGGUCAGCCCUACCAUGAGACAGAGCGAGGCAACUGCCUCAGGUGGCAAAUGCUGUGGGGCAGUGAGGACAGCUCCCUAUUCAAAAGAUUGAAUGACCCGGGCCUUUCUAGACCUCUGAGAGGACCUGACUGUGAACACCAAUUGCCGUGUAUUCUCCUUGAUUGAAUUUGUAACUUGUAAAAUGAACUGUAACAUGUAAACAACUUCCAAAGCUUUGGAUAUUUUAUUGUAAAUCAUUCAGAGAUCAAUUGCUGAGUGGGAGGCAGGUGAUAUUAUCACAGGUGAAUAUUAAACUACUUUGUCAAGGUGUUUUACAGUUUAUCAAUUGUUUCCUGUGAGUGUAUGUGUGAGUGUGCUCUGUGUGUAUAUAUUUAUGCAUGAGGAAUUUCUGGCCUUGUAAAACAAAUCAUUUUGCUUGUACUUAGAUAAGCAUUCACAGCCAUGCAUUGAAAUCUGAGAGCAACCUGAUCUUACAUAAAGAUUAGAUUAUUCUUAGUAAACUGAUAGCAUCUGGGAUUAGAAGUGCUUUUUCAUUCAUAGGAAACUGUAGAAGAAAUACCCCCUCAUCAUCAGCGAAGAUGGCUGCUGUGAGUCUCUUUGAUAUAUUGCCAAGCUGAACUAUUAAAUAAAUCCAUCAGAAAUGAAUCUAACAAAACGAUGUGUGGCAAAUGUUUCCAGCAGGGAAGAGGACCCGCAAGGGAAUGGGUUUUUUUUUCUAACAGGAGCACAUGAGGUUUUUAUAGGCUGCAGGACUUAGGAUCCGAACUGUAACCAUAUUUGGUUAUUAAAACAUGCACACAAAUAGAACAACUGAACAGAUGGAUGAAAUAUCAUAAGUGGCUUUAAGGCUGAUGGCUGUUGAAAAUCAGUAGGCAUACUUUGCAGCCUUUAUUGCAUAUAUUGUUUAGGCCUAAGAGACUGCCUGAGGAAAAAAUACUAAGCACAUGGAGGAUUUUUAUGCCUUUGUAUGUAGGUUUCACUCUCUGCCUUUCAAAUUCCAUGAAGGAUAAAGUUAUCAACAGCUACUAGCCAUGAUAUCUGUUCUACUGCAACUGUUGGAGGCAGUAUGUCUCUGCAUACCAGUUGCUGGGAAUUACAAGUGGGGAGAGUGCUGUUUUAUGUACCCGAUUGGCCACUGUGAGAACAGGAUGUUGGACAAGAUGGCUUGAUCCAGUAGGGUUCUUCUUAUGUGGAAUAUGGGGAAGUGGAAUCUGUCAUACCAUGCAGGUUAUGUUCCCCGUUUCUAACUUUUGGGUGGCUUUAAAAGAAAAUUGGACAAUCUCAUGGAAUAUAAAAGCUAUCAACAGUGCCGGAUAAGCUAAACAAGCUAUAGCUUAGGGCCCCACUCUCUUGGGGGCCCCAAUUUUUUCCCACUAUUAAUAUACUUCUUCUUAAUUGUAUUUCAGUUCAAUAAUUACUUUGAUAAAAUACAUAUUUUGUUAUGUGCAAAUGGCUUUAGAUACCUAUUAGGUCCAUAAAUUACCAUAUAGCAUAUAUUCAACACAAAAAACAGCGACAAUUUGUGGUUGACAAAGGACAGCUGGACAUAUAAAGGGCUCCAUUAUCUUCAGUAGCUUAGGGCCUCAUCAAACCUAAAUCCAGCCCUGGCUAUCAAUGGCUACUAGCCCCCGAUGGCUGUGCUCUGCCUUCACAGUCCAAGGCAGUGAUGCUUCUGAAUGCCAGUUGCUGGAAACUGCAGCAGGUGAGUGCUCUGGUGCUUGGGGCCUGCUUGAGGGUUUAUCAUCUGGUUGGCCAUUGCAGGAACAGGAUGCUGGACUAGAUGGGCCAUUGGCUUGAUCCAGCAGGCUCUUACGUUCUUAAGUUUACUGAGGUAUUAAUGCUCUCCUUUUAAGAACCCCAUCUGAGGCAAAGGAAUAAGAGGUCCAUGGCUUCUGUUUCCCAGUUUAUUGAUGACCAGCCCUCUUUCUUCGCUGCUGGGUGGCAAACCUGGUGUCCUGCUCUCUACAGCAGGUAAAAAUGAUCAAGAGAGCUAGAAAGAAAAAGUGAUGGAAAAGCUAUGGCUGCUGCAUCUCUUACUUUGGUAUACAGUAAUGCUAAUCUCUGGGUUGCCAUCUGGCAACCCUGAGAAGAAGGGAGCAAAGGCCAUAUUAAAAACUUACCUUGAGUUGAAGGCUCCCGGUUUGUAUAUUUGAAGAAAACAAAGUACACUCAUGAAGAAGGGAGUGUUCAUGACAAUUUUUUUCUCACUUGUUGAAGCCAGCUAGACCCUUUUACCUAGCGAGAAUAAGAACACUGGAACAAUACUUUU
This is a non-coding RNA of Podarcis lilfordi (Lilford's wall lizard), 8245 nucleotides long. The record is from the annotation of a GenBank genome assembly. NCBI's taxonomy places the organism in Eukaryota, Metazoa, Chordata, Lepidosauria, Squamata, Lacertidae.